Molecule: unclassified non-coding RNA, 256 nt
Filed under: Hevea brasiliensis (rubber tree)
Lineage: Eukaryota; Viridiplantae; Streptophyta; Magnoliopsida; Malpighiales; Euphorbiaceae
Source: RNAcentral
GGCCUUGAUUCUAUCAGGUCUAAACAAGCAGAAAUACCAAGCAAUCAGAGCCCCCCAAUCAUGGCCCACCAGAAACACUUGCUCGAUCCCGAAGGCAUCAAGGAGGCCGACGAGAUCUCCCACGACGUGGAGCCCCGUGUAGUCAUUAACGGAUGGGGGAGAGUCAGUGUCUCCGAAGCCGCGAAGAUCAGGGGCUAAGCAACGAUAACCAAGGGAAGAGAGAGAGAGGAGCUGGUGUCGCCAAGAGUACCAGAGU